RNAcentral lists this transfer RNA (84 nucleotides) under Alphaproteobacteria bacterium. RNAcentral describes it as "tRNA-Leu". It matches the Rfam family "tRNA". From Rfam's summary of the family: Transfer RNA (tRNA) molecules are approximately 80 nucleotides in length. Their secondary structure includes four short double-helical elements and three loops (D, anti-codon, and T loops). The record is from RNAcentral. Lineage: Bacteria; Pseudomonadati; Pseudomonadota; Alphaproteobacteria.
GCCCCGGUGGUGGAAUGGUAGACGCGGCAGACUCAAAAUCUGUUGCCGCAAGGCGUGGGGGUUCAAGUCCCUCCCGGGGCACCA